Molecule: ribosomal RNA, 318 nt
Filed under: uncultured archaeon
Lineage: Archaea
Description: bacterial SSU rRNA
Rfam family: Archaeal small subunit ribosomal RNA
Source: RNAcentral
UCACUGCUAUCGGGGUUCGAUUAAGCCAUGCGAGUCGCGAGGGUUCGGCCCUCGGCGUACUGCUCGUAACACGUGGAUAACCUGCCCUAAGGAAGGGGAUACCCCCGGGAAACUGGGGCUAAUACCCUAUAGGUUACCGCUGCUGGAAGCUUGGUAACCGAAAGUUCCGGCGCCUUAGGAUGGAUCGCGGCCGAUUAGGUUGUUGUGGGGGUAACGGCCCACAAGCCCGUAAUACGGUACGGGUUGGUGGAGGCAAGAGCCCGGACGUGGAGUUCUGAGCACGAAUACCAGGCCUACCGGGCGGCAGCAGGCGCGAUG